Long non-coding RNA from Dicentrarchus labrax (European seabass), 1176 nucleotides. RefSeq lists it as uncharacterized. The transcript is spliced from 5 exons. NCBI's taxonomy places the organism in Eukaryota, Metazoa, Chordata, Actinopteri, Moronidae. The record is from RefSeq and is a predicted model, not a curated record.
UAGAUGAACGACUUAACAACUUUACACAACUUGUGCAGGGGCGGAUCUACCGGGGUGGCAUAGGGUGGCAAGUGCCACCCUAAAAGAAAGCCUUGCCACCCCUGCUGCCACCCCAGUUGGCAGCAACGAAUUAAAAGAAAAGUUACGGCAUUUGACAUUUACGAGCGUGAAUCUCCAAUGUCCGACUGCACUGAAUGCAGCACGAGAUAACGUCAGAGCGGCCGGCAAGACACUGAUUGGUUGGAAACACUGAGUGGCGCGAAGCGAGGGAGCCAGGAGUCGCGAGGACAGGAGAGACGGGAGGAAAGAGGGGGGCGGCGCCCUCUAUUGGCCCGCCGCCACUGGGAAACGGUCUGAUGAAGGCCAAGGGAGGAGUCGUGGGGACCAAGCUGAGGCCAUUCUUGGACAAACUGAGUCAGGUCCAAGGGCUGUAUGAGGCAGAGCAGAGGGGGAAAGAGAGGGCAAGGACAUGAAGAAAGGAUGCUCCUCGGUUGUACACCGCUCUGCAUUCAUGGAGCUGUGACUGUUCCUUCCUGAGCGUGCAGCACGGGGAAGGUACGCCGGGUCACCUCACUUUCCUCUCUCAACCAAUAACACAACAUAUUCUGACUGUCAAUCCCCAACAAACAGCCACCCUCCUCAGAGUCUUUUUGUGCCACCCAGACUGACAGUUUGAACGCACGCACAAACCCUAACCGUCCUAUAUCAGCAAACCACAGAGCCACUAACACCCACGUUGUUCUUUUAUUUUCUGACAAAUGUCUGUCUUUACUCUUCUGUUCUGUACACAUUCUUUCUGUCUUUGUCCUGUUGUUCUGUAUUUUGUUUCUUGUGUUAAAAUAAUAAAAGAAAACUCAAGAACAUCCUCAGAAUUUAGAUCAGGCCAAUGUUUUUAUAUCACUAGAGUCACAGAACUAUUUACAGAACAAGGUUUUUUUUAAAAUAAAAGUUGCUAUAUUUUCUUAAAUACAGACACAUUUUACACGUUUGAUACUUAUUAAAAGUAAAUUAUCUGUUCUCAUGUCAGCCGAGCACUCCCUCAGCCCUACUGCACAGCUUUGCACUGAACCGUGCUCCAGCAUUCUUUAAACACAGUUGGUUCCUCCUAGACCGGCUCCACUGGAAGAACCACAUUGACAGGUUCCAGCUUCCAGUCCAACCCUCAGCCCCAGGUUC